Diachasmimorpha longicaudata is the source of this 811-nucleotide long non-coding RNA. RefSeq lists it as uncharacterized. The transcript is spliced from 3 exons. The record is from RefSeq and is a predicted model, not a curated record. NCBI's taxonomy places the organism in Eukaryota, Metazoa, Arthropoda, Insecta, Hymenoptera, Braconidae.
GGAGAUUGAGAAAGUCGGGGUUGCAUUGUGUGGUGAUUUUAAUUCCAUAUUAUCGAUACAUAAUUCGAUAUUGGAUGGAUUAAUUAAUUAUUCAUGAACGUUCGCUUUCCUCCGAUGAAAUCGAAGAAAUUAUUUCUCGUGAUGAAAAGCGGAAUGAAUUGGGAGGGGGAAUUUUUAGAAAUAUAAUUUAUAAUUCUCCAAGGUUUGGAUAAUUAUGGAAAUAAACACGAGUGUCGUGGGAUGAGCCCAAAUUAGUCGCUGAAGCACUGACUUUAAGAGGUCAUCUAACGGCUUAAAACCGAAACUAUCGUACCCGACAUCCCAGGACAAGACAAUGGACACUGAAGUCGGUCCACGAUUCAGGUCGACAGUAAAAAUGAAAAGCGUCUUCUGGGGGAAAUUAAAACGCUGAAUGAUGAAUAAAAAUACGGGUAAUCCAUGAGAUAUCAAAGUGGAACAGUCCCUGCAGUGAAAUGAGGUGCUGAAAAUUUCCAUUUUCAAAUUUUUUUUAUGACAAAAUGAAAGCGAUUCCACUGACAUUACAAUUUCUAUUUGUUGAUAGAAUAAUUUCAAUAAUUCACAAGGCCUGCCCACACGGAAAAAUUUAUUGUUUAUCGAUAUAUAAAAAAAAUUGAGCUGGCCCCCAUCAAGUGUUUUGUCAAAAAUAUGAAAUGUACGUCUCAGAUAUUAAAAAAAAAUUAUUCCAACUACGUAAAUAGCAAUGUUUAACACUUAACUCUGUUGUUCUUGUUAUUGUAAAAAAUUUUGAAUUCCAAGACUCUCUGGAGUGUGAAAAGAUCAUCCAAAGAGG